Molecule: ribosomal RNA, 189 nt
Filed under: uncultured bacterium
Lineage: Bacteria
Description: partial 16S ribosomal RNA
Rfam family: Bacterial small subunit ribosomal RNA
Source: RNAcentral
CCUACGGGAGGCAGCAGUGAGGAAUAUUGGUCAAUGGGCGCAAGCCUGAACCAGCCAUGCCGCGUGCAGGAUGAAGCAUCUAUGGUGUGUAAACUGCUUUUGUACGGGAAGAAACCCUUGCUCGUGAGCAAGAUUGACGGUACCGUAAGAAUAAGGAUCGGCUAACUCCGUGCCAGCAGCCGCGGUAAU